This is a long non-coding RNA of Homo sapiens (human), 1006 nucleotides long. Ensembl annotates it as SLC39A12 antisense RNA 1. Its record names the gene SLC39A12-AS1. Lineage: Eukaryota; Metazoa; Chordata; Mammalia; Primates; Hominidae. The record is from Ensembl.
CUUCAUUGAAGACCUAAGUUGCCCCUCCCAGGGUUGGGUUGAUGUAGAUCAACCCAAGUGCUGCCUGGAGCUAAGGAGGAUCAGGAUUGGAUGCUGGAGAGCAGAGAUGAAGAAUAUCAACUAUGGCCUCAGGGCCAGCAGGGAUGCUGGUUUUUCCUCGGCUAAUAGCCAUUUGCAAUAGGGUCAAGAUUUAUGCCAGCUGGAAUCUCACAGGAUAUCAGUCACAUUGCUUUCUUCUAAGCAAUUGCUUAUGCUUACAAGAAAAGGAGCAGGAACAUUGAAAGGAAAAUGACAUACUUAGCUUAGGGUUCUGCAUGACAAAUGGCUCUUGAUAACCUUCCCCCGUCAAUUCUGGGAGAGUAGACAAAAGCAAAGAAAACAAAUUGACUACAGACAUCGACAUUCAUCCUACUUGAAGAGAGAACCAGUCUGUGUGAAAAACAGAGUAAACUUCAAAAGAAUCCAGCAAUUGCCCUGAACUGACCCAUAAAGAGAAAUUAGAAAUCGAAAGUUGAAAAUUAGGAAGCUCAAGAGUGAAUCUGAGGACUGAUGUGCUCCACACAUUACCUUCAAGACUGUUUAGUUUAAACAAAGUAUAGCUCAUUUCAUUAAAUGGACAAUGGUUGGAUUCUGCUUCAUUAGUAGUCAAUCUCAAUGAAUCUGUUCCACAUAUUACCUUCAAGGUUAUUUACUUUUUCUUCUCCAGGACACAGUGCUUAGAAAAAUCAAAUAGAAAAGCCACCAAGCUUACCAUUUCAACCAAGGAUAAAUAUAAGAACAUCCCAGCAGUGACUGUGAAGAUCCAGUCUUGAACACAUGGAUCAGCUGACACGGAAAGGCCAAUGUAUAAUCCCAUGAAGGCAGUUAGGGAGCUUAUAAAAUUCAUCAGGAUGGCAGUCUUCAUAGAAAGUCCAGAGCUUAAGAGCACGGCAAAGUCUCCUGAAGUUUAAGAGGAAAGGAAAAUAUAAUUAUCAUUUAAUGGAAGACGCCUUUGCUAAAGUAACGC